UUUGUGAAGAAAAAAUAGAGCACAGAAGGAGCACGGGCUCGCCUCCACUCCCUCUCACCCAUGGAGUCAUCGCCGCCGCCGCCACCCACACCGGCUGCUUCCGGCGACCUCGGGCGACGCGCAACACGCCCCCGAGCUACCCACGGUCCGGGCCUCCCUCCCCUCCGUCCAGAUUCUCCGCUCCCGUCCUCUACCUCCCGCUUGCAACCCCACCCCUGUGGCUAGGGUUUCGGGCAGGGCUUCGCCGGCGCGUCUCCGGCGGCCCCAGUUAUUUGGAUCAUCGUCGUGUCGCAAGUUUCCGACAUCGCUUUACACACCGUGGACUUCACCGGAAAUCCGUCUGCACGUACUCCGCUGUCCGCCGGAACUUCGUCUACCUGAGGACUGAGGCACGUACUACAGUGUAAUCAAUUUGCAUCUGUCAUCAACUACUACUUAAGCUCUAAACAAGUCAAUUCCUAAAACACCCUCCUGUCCUCAUUACAGGAUGUUCCUCAGGAAAAUAAUAAUUAGAAGUAGCGAUCAAAUGUGAUAAGUCUAGCUAAAUUUGUAUCUAGGAAGAACAACUACUGUAUGUUAGGAAAAGUUAAACUAAUAUCAUGGUGAUGGCAGAGAGGUAAUUUAAUUGACUAUUUUGGAAGUAGCAAUCAAAGGUGAUAAAGCUAGCUAAAUUUUAUCUAGGAAGAACAGUUGUUAUUUGACAAAUACCAGUGCUAUAUGGUUCCACUCUAAAUCACUGUACUUAAUUGGUUGAAGGUUUGCAUUAGUGGUUCAGAACAAUGUUAUAUGGUUUCACCCUAAAUCUCUGUAGUUAAUUGGCUUAAGGUAUACAUAAUUGGUUGGCUGUGAAAAUAUAUAUAAUAAAUCUUCAUAUUAUAACAGCUUGAAGAGGUUCACAAAAAAUUGGUACAGGAGUUGCAACAGUCUUGAUCAAGUAUUUUGCAUUUAUCAUCAACUACUACUCCCUCCGUAAAGAAAUAUAAGAGCGAUUAGAUCACUCUCUUGAUUUUGUGCGCAUUAAUUCAAUUCUGAAAGUUGAUUCAAGUCUAGACGUUGAUUCAAGUCUACAGUACUUGAAGUAGAUUCAUAGAAGCUACACUUCUGUUAGUAUGUGAACAGAAAGCUUAUCUUAUAUGUGUGAUUGGAGUUGCAGAAUAUGACUAGGGGAAUGAUCAUAGAUGCCAACACCUACAGUAUGAUUUAUCUUGAUAGAGGUGCAGGGGAUUCGUAAGUAGUUUUAGUAUUUUUUUCUAGAUUGCUCAAGUACUUAAGCUUCUGCAAUCAUGAAAAACAAAAGAAGGGACCAGUAGUCAGGUUCCAUUAAUCCUUCUGUAGGUGUUCUCUUUGAUGCCUUUCCCCCUUCAUUACCAAUACAAUGAUGCUUUCUCUGUUAAAAUCUUGACACUACAUUAUCAAUCUCAAUAGCUUAAUUGAUUCUAAGCUCACCAGAAGUAUUUGUUCACAAAUUUGGAUGAUCUAUCUCAUAUGCUUAUACCUGAACCCUCAAUAACAUAAUAUUCUUGUGCCAGAUUUUUGCCAUUCGGUAAUACUUAUAAUAGCAUACUUCCGCACUUAUACAGGCACGGGAAAGAAACAGAAAGUAGUUUCUUACGGGCCUCGUUCUGGACCUGUUCCCACUUAUAUAGAAUAUAUUUUCUACUGGUUUCAUCAAACAAAAAAGUCAUAAACAUUAAAUAUUUAAAGUUUUGUCUCGUUCGUACUUUCUAAAAUCUGAAAUUUUACUGAAAUCAUCAUAGAAAUUCCGCAAGAAUAUUAAAGGCACCCGUGUCAUUCAUCCCUACUAGAUGAUGAAUGCUAUUGCUAUUUUUUCUCAAAGAUGCCUCUUUUUCAUUAAUAAGAAAGCUCAGUAGACCAAAAUUCCAUAUCAUUUCUUCUUUCUUAAGGAAAACUGACUGCAGGCAGCAAUCACAGAUGUUUAGUCUAUUUUCAGUUGACAAUAUACUGAAUAAUUUGGCAGUGAACAAGUACAGAAAAUGUUGUUAAGAAGCGAUAGUUUUGAACCUGAGUUUAUAAAAGAAAUUGAACCAAUUCGUGUUGAAAAUAUCUUAGGCAUCAAGUCCACCAGAUUUGAGAUGUUCACAGAAACAUGUCAGUUUCAUGUUAAUAUGUUGACUAGGGGCCUUUUGUAGCUACUUUAAUGGAAAUUGUAGUACCAUAGUGUCCUGCUGCAUAUAAUAAAUUGCAAAGUGAAAGUAAAAAAAACUUAGGAUUUGGUUGUCUAUCCGAUCCAAAAGUAAGCAAGCAGGGGCCAUGUUGUCAAGGAACAGAGUUCAAAAACCAUCAAUCUCAGGAACACUCUGACCAUGUAUUUGAUUCUGUUGAAGACCCAAUAUAUGAUAAGAUGCUAUUUUCAUUUGCUAGGCAACCAUGAAAAUGUUUCUGUCCAAUUCAUAAUUUAAAUCAGUCCAGUGUGUUCUUUUAUUCAGUUAUUAUAAUUUUACUCCUGUGUGUUCUUUUGUUUAGUUCUGUGAGGAGGAAGGGACUACAUCGAUGUGUAAUAUGUUCUUUGUUCUACAACCAUACCUACAUGGGAUUAUAGUUCACUUAGAAAUCUGAUAUUAUUUUCCUCUAGAAAUGAGCAUUAGCCCUCUCAAGCUCCACGGGUCCUCUGAAAUUUUUUGCCAGAGCAUGCAGCCGAACCAGGGCUGCCCGGGCUUCAGCUUCCUCCACACUGUCGGAAACUGGUAACUCACAGUAUGUCGACAAAUACACUUAGCCUCUGUAAUCCCUGGCUACUGCUCCCGCCCAUCCCGGCCACUGAUCUGCUAAAAACUUGCGUCAUUGUUCAACUAGGCUGUGCCAUGCUCCGGUGGAGUCCACUGUAUGGGUGGCAGUGAAACAGGUAUUUGCGUGGUAAACGACGGGGUCAGUUGUUCCUUUCCCUUCUCUGAACUCAUCUUUUCCAUCGCAUUGCCUAUCUCUUACUCGUACUUCUGCAGGAAGCUGACAGAAUGUAGGACAUAUUUUUUUCCUUGACGGACUACUACAACACACGGGCAUUUUCAUGAAGAGAACAUAGGGAUUUUAAGUUUUUGUAGCCUGCACUGGAGGCUGUAGAGUUACGUUUUUGUACAUUUUGCGAAUCGUUUUGUUCCAGAUUCUCUUAGUGUAUAGUCUAACUACAUAAGGUUAUUUACUAUGUGCACAUUUGCUUUUUCCAUUGCUGAUCAUGUCCUUCUCUCUGUGCACUUACAUCCUUCUGUUAACAGUUUAGUUAUCUAAUAAUUAUUCAGAAGGGACGCUGCAUGUUCCUAGAUGCAUAGCUUUUCUUAUAUAGAUUUUCAUUACACUGAGAUUUUUUUGAGGGGUAACAAUGGGAUUUAAGAUAGUAUAUUUUUGUAGAAUUCUCAAACUAAAAUCCGAUCAAACCGUACCUUCAAAGGCCAACAUAAUGGCACUUAAAAUAAAUGCUAAUCUGCACUCACGCUGCAAUGUGCCCAUUCUUCUGGUGAUUUGGUCAAAGCUACAACCAAGCAAAGAUAUUUUACAUGCUAUAAGAAGUUAAGAACUAAGAUACGGAUUUUGUGUUCCCAGGUCUAUAAUAUGCGUGCUCAGCCGGUUCUCUGCAAGCGCUUUCGGCCAUGACUUCAAGUUCUGCAGCUAGGCCGUGAAGUGUUGGUCCUUCUCACCGUCCACCGAUGAUGGUGCCCGAGAGAAGUCAGGGAAGGAGUAAAGGACGUUGCUGUCAUGGUCGUCGAAACGACUUGCCGUGGAUGCAGUCACGCACUGGAUGCCAUCGACGGCUAGCCGUGGACGAGCACCUCGCCGCCUCCGCAAAAUAUGGAUGCACGGGAUUCUGGUGAUGCUGAUUCGUUUGGGAUCUACUUCUGACAGAUCAAUUUGGUUUGUUGGCUGCUGGGUGGCUUCACACGUAUGUAAUAUAACAUGGCCCCAGAGCUACACGUAUGUACCGUAACGUUUCAUCUUUCAAUUUUGACGUUCAAUAUGACUCCUUGGUCCCGUUUCUUAGGGUUCAUGACUGACAAUUUGUCUUGGGCUAUGGAACUAAAAUGUCUAUUGAAUGUUCAUAGAUGUCUUAAAAGGAGAACAAUUCAGACUUUAGAUGUACAUCAUAUUUGAUGCAUCAGUCUAAUCUGUACUUCAAAUUACAGUGUAUAAUUUGUUCGGACACUAUAUAUAUAUAUUUAAUGGAGCCGUCUAAGUUGGA
Long non-coding RNA from Triticum aestivum (bread wheat), 4189 nucleotides. RefSeq lists it as uncharacterized. Lineage: Eukaryota; Viridiplantae; Streptophyta; Magnoliopsida; Poales; Poaceae. The record is from RefSeq and is a predicted model, not a curated record. The transcript has 3 exons.